GACGAACGCUGGCGGCGUGCCUAAUACAUGCAAGUCGAACGCUUCUUUCCUCCCGAGUGCUUGCACUCAAUUGGAAAGAGGAGUGGCGGACGGGUGAGUAACACGUGUGUAACCUACCCAUCAGAGGGGGAUAACACUUGGAAACAGGUGCUAAUACCGCAUAACAGUUUAUGCCGCAUGGCAUAAGAGUGAAAGGCGCUUUCGGGUGUCGCUGAUGGAUGGACCCGCGGUGCAUUAGCUAGUUGGUGAGGUAACGGCUCACCAAGGCCACGAUGCAUAGCCGACCUGAGAGGGUGAUCAGCCACACUGGAACUGAGACACGGCCCAGACUCCUACGGGAGGCAGCAGUAGGGAAUCUUCGGCAAUGGACGAAAGUCUGACCGAGCAACGCCGCGUGAGUGAAGAAGGUUUUCGGAUCGUAAAACUCUGUUGUUAGAGAAGAACAAGGACGUUAGUAACUGAACGUCCCCUGACGGUAUCUAAACAGAAAGCCACGGCUAACUACGUG
Molecule: ribosomal RNA, 508 nt
Filed under: uncultured bacterium
Lineage: Bacteria
Description: partial 16S ribosomal RNA
Rfam family: Bacterial small subunit ribosomal RNA
Source: RNAcentral